Molecule: ribosomal RNA, 496 nt
Filed under: uncultured bacterium
Lineage: Bacteria
Description: partial 16S ribosomal RNA
Rfam family: Bacterial small subunit ribosomal RNA
Source: RNAcentral
AUUGAACGCUGGCGGAAUGCUUUACACAUGCAAGUCGAACGGUAGAGGGGGCAACCCCUCGAGAGUGGCGAACGGGUGAGUAAUAUAUCGGAACGUGCCCAGUCGUGGGGGAUAACGUAGCGAAAGUUACGCUAAUACCGCAUACGAUCUAAGGAUGAAAGCGGGGGAUCGCAAGACCUCGCGCGAUUGGAGCGGCCGAUAUCAGAUUAGGUAGUUGGGGGGGUAAAGGCUCACCAAGCCAAAGAUCCGUAGCUGGUCUGAGAGGACGACCAGCCGCACUGGAACUGAGACACGGUCCAUACUCCUACGGGAGGCAGCAGUGGGGAAUUUUGGACAAUGGACGCAAGUCUGAUCCAGCCAUUCCGCGUGCAGGAUGAAGGCCCUCGGGUUGUAAACUGCUUUUGUACGGAACGAAAAGGUCUCUCUUAAUACGGGGGACUCAUGACGGUACCGUAAGAAUAAGCACCGGCUAACUACGUGCCAGCCGCCGCCGUAA